Salmo salar (Atlantic salmon) is the source of this 58-nucleotide non-coding RNA. The record is from Rfam. Lineage: Eukaryota; Metazoa; Chordata; Actinopteri; Salmoniformes; Salmonidae.
UGGCUCAGUUGGUAGAGCAUGGUCUUUGCAACGCCAGGGUUGUGGGUUCGACUCCCAU